Molecule: ribosomal RNA, 621 nt
Filed under: Triticum aestivum (bread wheat)
Lineage: Eukaryota; Viridiplantae; Streptophyta; Magnoliopsida; Poales; Poaceae
Description: partial small subunit ribosomal RNA
Source: RNAcentral
AUGGCGGAGGUGGAGAGGAAGGCGCCGCGGAGGGAGGAGGAGCUGGUGGAGGCGGCGCUGGCGGCCGCCGCGGCCGCGCUGUUCGUCUCCGGGGUCAAGAGCCUGGCGCCGGCCGUGCUCGUGGACCGCUGGUGGUGGCCCCUGCCCGCGCAGGUGCUCGCCGCGGCGCCGUCGCCCGUCCUCUUCCUGCUCCUCAACGUCCUCGUCGCCUGCAUCGUCGUGGUGUCCCUGCAGCCCACCAAGCGACCCGCCGCGGCGUCGGCAACGGGCGGCGUCGCCGCGGAGGUGGCGCCGGCGGGCGACGGCGCGGCGAAGAAGCUGAAGAAGAGGCGGAGCAGCAAGAGGCGCGGGGCCGACGCCGAACCGGCGGCUCUCGCGCCACCCUACGUCGCGGCCGACCGCUGCAUGGCGCUGGUGGUUGACCGCGGUGUCGUGGCGCCGACGGGCGGAGAAGAAGAAGAGGAAGGAGCCGCCGGCGACGCGGCGGAGGUGGACAGGCGCGCGGAGGAGUUCAUCUCGGCGUUCCGGCACCGCCUCAGGGUCGACUCCUUCUCGUCUCGCCGCGGGGAGGCUGGCGACGCGGCGGCGCGAGCCAUCAGCAGCACUGCGCCGUGCUUUUGA